GAUGAACGCUGGCGGCAUGCAUAAUACAUGCAAGUCGAACGGCAGCACAGGUAUGAAUACUGGGUGCCAAGGGGCGCACGGGUGCGUAACACGAAGGAAACCUACCCUAUACAGGCGAAAAACCGGGAGAAAUGAGAGCUGAUACGACGUAGUAAUACAGAUGGGCGGCUAUUUGUAAUUAAAAAUUUAUCGGGAUGGGAUGGGCAUGCGUUUCAUUAGUUAGUUGGUAAGGUAACGGCUUAACAAGACGAUGAUGGGUAGGGGAUCUGAGUGGACGUACCGCCACAGUGGGACUGAGGCACGAACGAGACUGCUACGCGAGGCAGACGUAUGGAAUAUUGAGCAGUGGGCGCGAGGGUGACACAGCCACGCCGCGUGUAGGAAGACGGCCUUAGGAGUUGUAAGCUGCUUUUAUACGAGAAUAAUAGAGUGUACGCGUACAUUUAUGACAGUAGCGGAUGAAUAAGCGACGGCUAACUCCGUG
This 484-nucleotide ribosomal RNA is filed under the name uncultured bacterium. RNAcentral describes it as "partial 16S ribosomal RNA". It matches the Rfam family "Bacterial small subunit ribosomal RNA", at positions 28 to 507 of the family's 1533-position model. The record is from RNAcentral.